GCAUCCAGCCCCUGCCCCCUCCCAGCCCCCUCCCAGGCUCCCAGGGAGAGGAUAAGAGGGGCCUGGCAGAGCCCAGACCCAGCUGGUUCUCUCUGGGGAGCAGAGCUCUCGGGGUCCCCUGCACCAUGGCCUGGCCUCUCUUCUGCCUCCUCCUGCUCACCUGCUGCUCAGGUUCCUUCUCCCAGCCUGUGCUGACUCAGGCUCCCUCCAUGUCUGUGUCCCUGGGAGCCACGGCCAGACUCUCCUGCACCCUCAGCAAUCAGCACAGUGACUACUAUAUUGCUUGGUACCAGCAGAGCCCAGGAAAGGCCCCUCGGUACCUCAUGUAUGUCAGCAGCGGUGGAUAUGUAGAGAAGGGCGAGGGGGUCCCCAACCGCUUCUCGGGCUCCAGCUCUGGGGCUGAUGGCUAUUUGUCCAUCAGCAACAUCCAGCCCGAGGACGAGGCCGAUUACUACUGUGAAACAAGUGAUAGUAAUGGUUUACACAGUGAUACAUUCAGUGAGGAAGUGGGGCAAAAACCCCCCUGCCAGCCCAGCCCCCGCCCCACAGCUGGCCCGGACUUCUGGUGCAGCCACAGCUGCUAAAGGGCCCUGAGGUUGUGCUUCCUGUUUCUCUGUCUCAGGCUCAGAGCCCAAUGUCCAGGACCUGCCCAAGAGCACAGUGAGAUAAGUCCCAGAAAUGGAUCAUUUAUCUCCCUUGACCAGCACUUCCCCCCCUUCCCAAACUACUUCCCAGGGCACUGACUCCAGGGUAGGGCUUUAGCUGAGCCUUCAGGCUUUAGCUGGUGGAGGGGGGUGAGGGGCCCUGUCUCCCUGAGGCUGCCAUGGCCGGGCCCUUGUCAAGUAAAGGUUCUUUGAGGUUUCCAUUGGCUCCCACAAAAUGACACGCCCACAUAAUUCUACAAAGAGAUUUAAUAAAGACACUCAAAGAAAAGACAAAACCUUAUAAACCACCUGUUUAUAUCCUUCGACAAUAUAUCAGUUGGGAAAUGACUUGAUUUCUUAUUGAUCUGACUUCAUUCUCUCUAUUUUUAAAUGAGGCCUUUGUCAGAAACACUUUUUGUAAAAUUGGUUUCCCCGUUUUCUGCUUCCCUUUUAAUUUUGAUUGAA
Antechinus flavipes (yellow-footed antechinus) is the source of this 1109-nucleotide non-coding RNA. Lineage: Eukaryota; Metazoa; Chordata; Mammalia; Dasyuromorphia; Dasyuridae. The record is from the annotation of a RefSeq genome assembly.